UUAAGCGACUAAGCGUACACGGUGGAUGCCCUGGCAGUCAGAGGCGAUGAAGGACGUGCUAAUCUGCGAAAAGCGUCGGUAAGGUGAUAUGAACCGUUAUAACCGGCGAUGUCCGAAUGGGGAAACCCAGUGUGAUUCGUCACACUAUCGUUAACUGAAUACAUAGGUUAACGAGGCGAACCGGGGGAACUGAAACAUCUAAGUACCCCGAGGAAAAGAAAUCAACCGAGAUUCCCCCAGUAGCGGCGAGCGAACGGGGAGCAGCCCAGAGUCUGAAUCAGCUUGUGUGUUAGUGGAACGGUCUGGAAAGUCCGACGGUACAGGGUGAUAGUCCCGUACACCAAAAUGCACAGGUUGUGAACUCGAAGAGUAGGGCGGGACACGUGGUAUCCUGUCUGAAUAUGGGGGGACCAUCCUCCAAGGCUAAAUACUCCUGACUGACCGAUAGUGAACCAGUACCGUGAGGGAAAGGCGAAAAGAACCCCGGCGAGGGGAGUGAAAAAGAACCUGAAACCGUGUACGUACAAGCAGUGGGAGCACCUUCGGGUGUGACUGCGUACCUUUUGUAUAAUGGGUCAGCGACUUAUAUUCUGUAGCAAGGUUAACCGUAUAGGGGAGCCGCAGGGAAACCGAGUCUUAACUGGGCGUUAAGUUGCAGGGUAUAGACCCGAAACCCGGUGAUCUAGCCAUGGGCAGGUUGAAGGUUGGGUAACACUAACUGGAGGACCGAACCGACUAAUGUUGAAAAAUUAGCGGAUGACUUGUGGCUGGGGGUGAAAGGCCAAUCAAACCGGGAGAUAGCUGGUUCUCCCCGAAAGCUAUUUAGGUAGCGCCUCGUGAACUCAUCUUCGGGGGUAGAGCACUGUUUCGGCUAGGGGGUCAUCCCGACUUACCAACCCGAUGCAAACUACGAAUACCGAAGAAUGUUAUCACGGGAGACACACGGCGGGUGCUAACGUCCGUCGUGAAGAGGGAAACAACCCAGACCGCCAGCUAAGGUCCCAAAGUCAUGGUUAAGUGGGAAACGAUGUGGGAAGGCACAGACAGCCAGGAUGUUGGCUUAGAAGCAGCCAUCAUUUAAAGAAAGCGUAAUAGCUCACUGGUCGAGUCGGCCUGCGCGGAAGAUGUAACGGGGCUAAACCAUGCACCGAAGCUGCGGCAGCGACACUAUGUGUUGUUGGGUAGGGGAGCGUUCUGUAAGCCUGCGAAGGUGUGCUGUGAGGCAUGCUGGAGGUAUCAGAAGUGCGAAUGCUGACAUAAGUAACGAUAAAGCGGGUGAAAAGCCCGCUCGCCGGAAGACCAAGGGUUCCUGUCCAACGUUAAUCGGGGCAGGGUGAGUCGACCCCUAAGGCGAGGCCGAAAGGCGUAGUCGAUGGGAAACAGGUUAAUAUUCCUGUACUUGGUGUUACUGCGAAGGGGGGACGGAGAAGGCUAUGUUAGCCGGGCGACGGUUGUCCCGGUUUAAGCAUGUAGGCUGGUUAUCCAGGCAAAUCCGGAUAAUCAAGGCUGAGGUGUGAUGACGAGGCACUACGGUGCUGAAGUAACAAAUGCCCUGCUUCCAGGAAAAGCCUCUAAGCAUCAGGUAACAUCAAAUCGUACCCCAAACCGACACAGGUGGUCAGGUAGAGAAUACCAAGGCGCUUGAGAGAACUCGGGUGAAGGAACUAGGCAAAAUGGUGCCGUAACUUCGGGAGAAGGCACGCUGGUGUGUAGGUGAAGUCCCUGCGGAUGGAGCUGAGACCAGUCGAAGAUACCAGCUGGCUGCAACUGUUUAUUAAAAACACAGCACUGUGCAAACACGAAAGUGGACGUAUACGGUGUGACGCCUGCCCGGUGCCGGAAGGUUAAUUGAUGGGGUUAUCCGUAAGGAGAAGCUCUUGAUCGAAGCCCCGGUAAACGGCGGCCGUAACUAUAACGGUCCUAAGGUAGCGAAAUUCCUUGUCGGGUAAGUUCCGACCUGCACGAAUGGCGUAAUGAUGGCCAGGCUGUCUCCACCCGAGACUCAGUGAAAUUGAACUCGCUGUGAAGAUGCAGUGUACCCGCGGCAAGACGGAAAGACCCCGUGAACCUUUACUAUAGCUUGACACUGAACAUUGAGCCUUGAUGUGUAGGAUAGGUGGGAGGCUUUGAAGCGUGGACGCCAGUCUGCGUGGAGCCAACCUUGAAAUACCACCCUUUAAUGUUUGAUGUUCUAACGUUGGCCCCUGACCGGGGUUGCGGACAGUGUCUGGUGGGUAGUUUGACUGGGGCGGUCUCCUCCCAAAGCGUAACGGAGGAGCACGAAGGUUAGCUAAUCCUGGUCGGACAUCAGGAGGUUAGUGCAAUGGCAUAAGCUAGCUUGACUGCGAGCGUGACGGCGCGAGCAGGUGCGAAAGCAGGUCAUAGUGAUCCGGUGGUUCUGAAUGGAAGGGCCAUCGCUCAACGGAUAAAAGGUACUCCGGGGAUAACAGGCUGAUACCGCCCAAGAGUUCAUAUCGACGGCGGUGUUUGGCACCUCGAUGUCGGCUCAUCACAUCCUGGGGCUGAAGUAGGUCCCAAGGGUAUGGCUGUUCGCCAUUUAAAGUGGUACGCGAGCUGGGUUUAGAACGUCGUGAGACAGUUCGGUCCCUAUCUGCCGUGGGCGCUGGAGAAUUGAGGGGGGCUGCUCCUAGUACGAGAGGACCGGAGUGGACGCAUCACUGGUGUUCGGGUUGUCAUGCCAAUGGCACUGCCCGGUAGCUAAAUGCGGAAGAGAUAAGUGCUGAAAGCAUCUAAGCACGAAACUUGCCCCGAGAUGAGUUCUCCCUGAGACUAUAAGUCUCCUGAAGGAACGUUAAAGACGAUGACGUUGAUAGGCCGGGUGUGUAAGCGCAGCGAUGCGUUGAGCUAACCGGUACUAAUGAACCGUGAGGCUUAACCUU
RNAcentral lists this ribosomal RNA (2900 nucleotides) under Klebsiella pneumoniae. RNAcentral's name for it is "bacterial LSU rRNA". It matches the Rfam family "Bacterial large subunit ribosomal RNA". Lineage: Bacteria; Pseudomonadati; Pseudomonadota; Gammaproteobacteria; Enterobacterales; Enterobacteriaceae. The record is from RNAcentral.